CCUGCGGAGGGAUCAUUACACAACAAAAUAUGAAGGCCUGGCUUUCGCGGCCGGCUGAAGUAUUUUUUUCACCCAUGUCUUUUGCGCACUUGUUGUUUCCUGGGCGGGUUCGCCCGCCACCAGGACCAAACCAUAAACCUUUUUUUCUUAUGCAGUUUCCAUCAGCGUCAGUAAAAACAAUGUAAUUAUUACAACUUUCAACAACGGAUCUCUUGGUUCUGGCAUCGAUGAAGAACGCAGCGAAAUGCGAUACGUAGUGUGAAUUGCAGAAUUCAGUGAAUCAUCGAAUCUUUGAACGCACAUUGCGCCCUUUGGUAUUCCAAAGGGCAUGCCUGUUCGAGCGUCAUUUGUACCUUCAAGCUUUGCUUGGUGUUGGGCGUUUUUUUGUCUCCCUCUUUCUGGGAGACUCGCCUUAAAACGAUUGGCAGCCGGCCUACUGGUUUCGGAGCGCAGCACAUUUUUUGCGCUUUGUAUCAGGAGAAAAGGACGGUACUCCAUCAAGACUCUACAUUUUUCACUUUUGACCUCGGAUCAGGUAGGGAUACCCGCUGAACU
RNAcentral lists this ribosomal RNA (555 nucleotides) under Bipolaris oryzae. RNAcentral's name for it is "eukaryotic LSU rRNA". The stretch from base 193 to 346 matches the Rfam family "5.8S ribosomal RNA". Lineage: Eukaryota; Fungi; Ascomycota; Dothideomycetes; Pleosporales; Pleosporaceae. The record is from RNAcentral.